This 301-nucleotide ribosomal RNA is filed under the name uncultured bacterium. Its description in RNAcentral is "partial 16S ribosomal RNA". It matches the Rfam family "Bacterial small subunit ribosomal RNA", at positions 509 to 807 of the family's 1533-position model. The record is from RNAcentral.
CAGUCGCCACGGGAAUACGAAGGGGGCUAGCGUUGCUCGGAAUUACUGGGCGUAAAGGGCGCGUAGGCGGAUAGUUUAGUCAGAGGUGAAAGCCCAGGGCUCAACCUUGGAAUUGCCUUUGAUACUGGCUACCUUGAGUUCGGGAGAGGUGAGUGGAAUGCCGAGUGUAGAGGUGAAAUUCGUAGAUAUUCGGCGGAACACCAGUGGCGAAGGCGACUCACUGGCCCGAUACUGACGCUGAGGCGCGAAAGCGUGGGGAGCAAACAGGAUUAGAUACCCGCGUAGUCCCUGUCUCUUAUAC